AGUGAACGCUGGCGGUAGGCCUAACACAUGCAAGUCGAACGGCAGCACAGUAAGAGCUUGCUCUUACGGGUGGCGAGUGGCGGACGGGUGAGGAAUACAUCGGAAUCUACUUUUUCGUGGGGGAUAACGUAGGGAAACUUACGCUAAUACCGCAUACGACCUACGGGUGAAAGCAGGGGAUCUUCGGACCUUGCGCGAUUGAAUGAGCCGAUGUCGGAUUAGCUAGUUGGCGGGGUAAAGGCCCACCAAGGCGACGAUCCGUAGCUGGUCUGAGAGGAUGAUCAGCCACACUGGAACUGAGACACGGUCCAGACUCCUACGGGAGGCAGCAGUGGGGAAUAUUGGACAAUGGGCGCAAGCCUGAUCCAGCCAUACCGCGUGGGGGAAGAAGGCCUUCGGGUUGUAAAGCCCUUUUGUUGGGAAAGAAAAGCAGCAGGUUAAUACCCCGCUGUGCUGACGGUACCCAAAGAAUAAGCACCGGCUAACUUCGUG
Molecule: ribosomal RNA, 492 nt
Filed under: uncultured bacterium
Lineage: Bacteria
Description: partial 16S ribosomal RNA
Rfam family: Bacterial small subunit ribosomal RNA
Source: RNAcentral